AGUGGCGGACGGGUGAGUAACGCGUGGGUAACCUGCCUCAUACAGGGGGAUAACAGUUGGAAACGACUGCUAAUACCGCAUAAGCGCACAGGGUCGCAUGACCUGGUGUGAAAAACUCCGGUGGUAUGAGAUGGACCCGCGUCUGAUUAGCCAGUUGGUGGGGUAACGGCCUACCAAAGCGACGAUCAAUAGCCGACCUGAGAGGGUGACCGGCCACAUUGGGACUGAGACACGGCCCAAACUCCUACGGGAGGCAGCAUG
RNAcentral lists this ribosomal RNA (261 nucleotides) under uncultured bacterium. RNAcentral's name for it is "partial 16S ribosomal RNA". It matches the Rfam family "Bacterial small subunit ribosomal RNA", at positions 94 to 353 of the family's 1533-position model. The record is from RNAcentral.